AGCUCUCUGUGAAAUGGACCAAUCAGCAGGAUGUGGGUAGGGCCGGAUAAGGGGAUAAAAACAGGCCACCCGAGCUAGCUGCUGCAGCCUGUUUGGGUCUGCCUUCCUUUGAGGGGGGUUUUGUUCUUUUGCUCUUGGCAAUAAAUCUUGCUGUUCCUUGGUCUUUGGGUGUGUGCCAUUACUGGGGAGGUCUGCAGCUUCACUCCUGAGGCCUUUACAACUGAGGUGGGUGAGACAAGGAACCCACCACAAACCCAGCGGGAGGGAGGAACAACUCCAGAUGCACUUCCUUAAGAGCUGUAAUGCUCACCGCAAAGGUGUGCAGCUUCACUCCUGAAGCUAGCGAGACCACGAACCCGCCAGAAGGAAGAAACUCUGAACACGUCUGAACAUCAGAAGGAACAAAUUACGGACACACCAUCUUUAAGGACUGUAACACUCACCGCAAGGGUCCGUGGCUUCAUUCUUGAAGUCAGCCAGCGAGACCAAGAACCCGCCAAUUCCGGACACACUAAGACAUCAGGAGGGCACUGUAUUGCCAGGUCCCUGGAUGUGGUGUGAAGACUGUUCUCUACAAAACUCUAGAAGGCACGAUUUUCAUCAGAUUCACAGCCAGCGUGGCCAUACAGAUGUCCAUAGAGGUGAGGGGGAAAAAGAAACCACUCAGGUUAUUACUGGUGGCAGAGCUGGAUCAUUAACCACAAGCGCGUGUUUUAGAUAAGAACUGCCAGCAUUAAGUCAAGCAUAUUGGAAAGUGGUCAUCCUAAGCCAAGACCCUUGCAGAAGAACAGAAGGCCAAAGUCUUGAAUGGACAGCGCAAUUUUGACCUCCCAGAUAUUUUUAAUAAUGAUUUGGUACACACUUGACUCUGAACAUAAUGAUGAGAACACACUAUCCAAGCUACUGGAGCAGGCUAUGAGUUAUCCUGAAGAUGUAGUUUUGUUUUGGUUCUCUUUAGUACUCGAUAGCCAACAAGCCCAAGACAUGUCUCAUCUUAGUGUUGUUGUUGACACUCAUUCAGAGAUCAUGCUUGAAGGAAAGACCUCAUCAGCCUUUUGUGGGAGAGACUUUGGGCUAAUCAUAGCAUAAUACUCUAUUUUUAGAAAAUCUCUCUUUGAAAGUUUCUGUCUGCAGUACCAGAUUUUGCCAUAUUUGUGUACUUACUUUUACUCUUUUCAAAUGUUCAAGUUACAUAGUUCUACCUGGCAUAUAAAAUAUAUGUAAUUUACAAAAUGGAUGUAGUAGUUUAUAUUAUCAAAAAAUGAUAUGAUUCUUAGCUCAAAAAAUGUCUUCUGCACUUUUGCCUCUCUCUGCCUGUAUCAUUCUUCUCCAGAUAUUUUCAUUGCUGGUAUUUUAUCGGGCAAUUUCUUGAAGAUUCCCUUCUUCAAGGACUCCAUUGAACACCUAUUUAAAAUUGCAACAUCCAGCCCCCCUGUCACUCCCCAAUUAUGUGAUUUAUUGCCAUUCUUGACUUAUUUUAUCUCUGUAUAACUUAUCACCAUCAAAUAUAAUAUGUUUAUUUGUUUUGUUGUCUAUCCUUUACCUCACAGAAAUGAAAGUUCCAUGAGGCUGUUUUAUGUGGUUCUUUGACUGUUGUAGACUCAGGACCUAGAAUAGUGCCUAACGGGUAGUAGUCACUUAAAAUAAAUGUUGUAGGCGACCAAAAUAUGUGUGCAAACAACCUAUAUGAGACCUUUCAUAGACUCAUAGAGCUACUUCCAAUGUGGUCCAGGUGCCAGAAGCAUCAGCAUCACUUAGGAACUUUGCUUGUUUUCCUAAUACAGCCUUGUUUGGAUAUAUAAUUGUUCAUAUACCAAACAAUUCAUUAAAGUGUAUGAUUAAAUGAUCCAGAGUUGUACAACUAUCACCAUCAUUUUAGAAUAUGUUCAUCACUCCCCAAAAAACCCAUACCCAUUAAGUCACCUCUACUUUUCCUCAACUUUUUCAGUUCUAGGCAACCACCAAUCUACUUUCUGUCUCUAUGGAUAUUUCAUAUAAAUGGAAUCAUACAACAUGUGGUCCUUUCUUGUGGCUUCUUUCACCUAGCAUAAUGUUUUUGAGUUUUGUCCUUGUUAUAGCAUGGAUUAGUAAAUUAUUCCUUUUCACUGUGAGAUAAUUGCCCAUUGUAUGGCUACACCACAUUUUAUUUACCCAUUCAUCAAUUGAUGAAAAUAUGAAUUGUUUCCACUUUUUGUCUAUUAUGAAUAAUGCUACAUUCAUGUAUACAUUUUUGUAUGGACACCUACAUAUAUUCACUAUCUUUGAAAGCACUUAAUUGCAAAAUUUUUAUUCAGUUUCUCAAGCAUCAUUUGACAUAUUACUAUUUUUACUAGCUUUAUUGAGGUAUGAUUGACAAAAUUAUAUAUAUGUAAGGUGAAUUAUGUGAUGUUUUCGUAUGCAUAUACAUUGUGAAGUGAUGACCACAAGCUAACAUCCAUUACCUCAACUAGUUACCAUUUGUGUGUGUGUGUGUGUGUGUGUGUUUAGUGAGAACAUUUGAGAUUUGCUCUCAGCAAAUUUCAAAGCUACAUUAUUAGUAACUAUCAUCAUCAUGCUGUAUAUUGGAUUUCCAGAAUAUAUUCAUCUUGCAAUUAAAAUUUUGUACCCUGUGACCAACAUCCCUCCUUUUCCUCCACUUUUCAGCCCCUGGUAACUACCAUUCUACUCUCUGUUACUGUGAACUCAACAUUUUUUUUCAGAUUCCACAUAUAAGUGAGAUUAUGCAGUAUUUGUCUUUUUCUGUUUGGCUUAUGUUACUUGGCAUAAUGUCUGCCGGGUUUAUUCAUGUUAUCGCAAGUGGCAGAAUUUCUUUAUCUAUUCAUCUCUCUGUGGACACUUAGAUUAAUUCCUUCUCUUGGCUACUGUGAAUAGUGCUGCAAUGAACAUGAGAGUGUAGAUAUCCUUUUGAGAUGCUGACUUCAUUUCCUCUGGAUAUGUACCCAGAAAUGGGGUUAAUAGUUCAAAUGGCAGUUCUAUCUGUAAUUUUUUGAGGAACUUUCACACUGUUUUCCAUAAUAGCCAUACCAAUUUACAUUUCCACUAACAGUAAUGCAGACUUAACAGUCCAAUCCAGGAGGUACUGAAUCAGAGGCUGAUUUUUAACAAAACCCUAGGGUGAGUUGCUCAUUAAAGUUUGGAAAGCAGGUAUGGAGUAGGUACUCAAUGAAUGUUUCCCAAACCUAAAUGCUAUAUACUAACAGCUGUGGGCUAGCAAAAUGUACAUAAUUAUGGUCUUUUAUAAUUAAUGCAGUUUAGAUUAAUGAACAAAGAGAAGCAAUAACAGAAGGGAGCACUGGGCUUUAAAUGUUUAGUGUUCUAGUGUGUAUCAUUUCUGAUUCUCCUGAAAUUCCGCAUUCAGGUUGAAUCAUUUGUUAGGCAUAAUCUUGUGAUGGAAACACUAAAGGAGAUAUGAAGAGGAAAGGACAUUUUAAUUAAAAAAUCAGAUGUUAUUUGCCAUAAUUAGUGGAGAUAAUCACCCAUUAGUCAAUAAACUUAACAGGAAGUAUUUUUUAAAUAAUUAGGAUGAUUAAAUACAGGAUUAAAAAGUUGUAAGAGUGAAUGCCGUAUGUUUUUAUUGUUUCAACUCUUAGUGUUUUUUUAGUAAUUUCUAAAUCCUGUAAAUGUAAAAGUACAACAACAGAGGUACUUUUAGAAAGUACAUUUUUUUUCUGUCUUACUUGGACUGGUACCUAUUAUUUUCUACUUUGGGCUGGUACCUUGAAACACUGAAGGCAGAGAAAAAUGGGAAUAAUUAUAGUACCAAAAAUGUUUUGAAUGAAUAAACACAUCAUUAUAUCAAUCAAUCAAUAUGAGGCCUUAGAUACUAAGGUGAGGGCAUUGGAUAUUAUGAUUAGCAUUAAGUCUUUCUGGGAAAUAAGACCAUGGAGAGUUUUCAACCUAAAUCGUCCUAGGAAAUGAGGAGUAGCUGCCCUGUAGGCUAGAGGGAGAAACUGCCAGUGAGAAAGUGGGUACAACAGAGAAAACCUCUUUCCAGUUGUAUACAUGCUGGCCUCUCUCUACAUCCAAGAAUACUCUGAAUAUUGCUUAAAGGACCAUAAAUACUUUAAAAACUGAGCCAUAUAUAAGCCUACUCCUAUGUAUUUUCAUAUUAAAAAAUUUACGUGUG
This is a long non-coding RNA of Pan troglodytes (chimpanzee), 4126 nucleotides long. RefSeq lists it as uncharacterized. The transcript has 4 exons. The record is from RefSeq and is a predicted model, not a curated record. Lineage: Eukaryota; Metazoa; Chordata; Mammalia; Primates; Hominidae.